Molecule: long non-coding RNA, 670 nt
Organism: Toxotes jaculatrix (banded archerfish)
Lineage: Eukaryota; Metazoa; Chordata; Actinopteri; Toxotidae
Exons: 3
Source: RefSeq, a predicted model, not a curated record
GAGGAGGAGAUGAGACAGAGGAGAGGAAGAAACUCAGUGGAGCCAGAAAGAUGGAGAAAAGUGAUUGAAGCGAUGAGGAGGAGAGAAGAGAGAUUAGAGGAAGAGAGAAACUCAGGAUGCAGCAUACUGACAUGUUCAUUCCUCUAUGGCCACAGUUCACCAUCUUCUAAUGGCUCCUUCCAGCAGGAUAAUGCUUCAUGUCACAAAGAAAAGGUCGAAAGUUGUGAAAAAAAAGUUGUGAUGCAAUCAUGUCAACCUGGACCAGAGUCUCAAAGGAAAGUUUCCAACAUGUUGUGGAAUCAAUGCCACGAAGAACUGAGGCUGGUCUGAGAGCAGAGGAGGAACUACCCGAUGUCAGUACAGCGCUAAGCUGCUGCAUGAGAAGCUUAUUCACAGUAAAACGCUCCAUUGUCAAACACGAUCGAAGGCCGCCAGGUGAAGCGGAUCAUCUGUGUGUCAACAUUCAACAAAUCACACUGCAGUGGGACUUUAUGUGACCUGGAUCCUGACCGCUUCACCUCCAUGAUGGAAAAGAGACUUCAGCAUCAAUCAGUAGCAGGACGGGGUGGUGGUCUGGGUGCUGUAGCCGCUGGAGCAGUGCAGAGAGUCCCUACUGCUUCUCGGAGCGUCCGAGGUCAACGCACCCAAAGUCAACGCCAGCUGAUCCCGG